RNAcentral lists this non-coding RNA (661 nucleotides) under Pan troglodytes (chimpanzee). The record is from RNAcentral. Lineage: Eukaryota; Metazoa; Chordata; Mammalia; Primates; Hominidae.
AUACGUUCCACCUGUAUGUUUGGAAGAGAAAGAACUGUGCUCACUGCUUCUGAGCUGUCCCUAUUUAUUCAUUUAUUUUUGGUCUGAUGGCUAAAUAAAGAUUUUUUUGGAUUCAAGAGAAAUAAUUUAAUGAGAUAAAAUAUUAUUUCCUAAGAAAAAUAUAUGAGCUGAAACCUGGGAAACAUCUAGAUAAUUUAAUUGAAAAUGAUUGACAUUCUCAAACAAAAAAGAAAAGAAAAUCAGAUACACCACUUUCUUCUCUCCCUAUCUGCGGAGGCUGCCUCCUCCAACCUGCAUAGCUGCAUCCCAGUGCAUGUGCACCUGCCUGCUUGGACACUUCAAUGACUAACUUCUCUGCAAAUACAUCAAUAGUUUCAUUGCCUUCAGGCUUCUUCCAUGUCUUUUAACUCUUGAACCUUCUGGUGCAUUUUAGCUUACCAACCAGCACAUGCUGCUUUGUACUUGUUUUAUGUAUUCAUUUAUUGCACAAAUUUUCCUUGAGUGCCUUGUUCAUGGAAGGUGCUAUUCCAGGAAUUUUAUGUGUAGUUUAAGUUACCUCCAUCUAAACUAUAAGAUUUUCAUAUAAUUCAUCUUUGUAGUUCUACCACAAGCAUAUUAGUAGAUUCUAAACAAGCGUUAACUCCACAUUUGUGUGCAUGUA